RNA transcript from Panicum virgatum (switchgrass), 2551 nucleotides. It is a transcript of the gene named O-glucosyltransferase rumi homolog, with no coding region annotated. NCBI's taxonomy places the organism in Eukaryota, Viridiplantae, Streptophyta, Magnoliopsida, Poales, Poaceae. The record is from RefSeq and is a predicted model, not a curated record. The transcript has 6 exons.
CAUCAUAACCGAGCAAGGUCACGAGUGCGUCCCCUGCUUACUACUAUACCUCCGACCUCUGCUCUGCUUUGCCUCACCCGGGCCGAGACCCGAGAGCGUUCACUGCGUGGACCCGGCGCCCUUCGGCCAUGGCGACGGCCGCAGCGGGCACGGCGGACUGCCGGCGCCGCGCGACGCUGGCCGGGGCGCUGUCGAGGACGAGCGCCGCCUUCCUCUUCCUCUCCGUCGCCGCCGUCGCGGCGGUCGUGUCGGCUCGCUGGAUCACCGCCACCACCGCUGGACGCCUGACGCGCCUCCCCACCACCGCGGCCAUUCCCGCCGCCGCGCUCCACCCGGAAGCAGAGCACCCGCAGCCCCUGCGGCCGUCAGCAGCAGCGCCGCCGCCGCCUCCCCAUUCCCGGCCACCACCUCCCGCCCUCUACUCCAUCUCCUGCCCUGCCCCCGCCCCCAACCUCUCACACUCCCACCCCACCGAACCGCCCAAAACCUCCCAAACCCUCGCGCGCGCUCUCUCCUCGCCCUCCACCUGCCCCUCCUCCUCCCCCGGCCCGCCGCCGCCCGCCUCGCCGUCCUCCAACCGCUCGUGCCCGUCCUACUUCCGCUUCAUCCACGAGGACCUCCGCCCAUGGCGCGCGGCGGGCGGGGUCACGCGCGCCAUGCUCGCCCGCGCCCGCCUCACCGCCACGUUCCGCCUCGUCGUGCUCGGGGGCCGAGCCUACAUCCAGCGGCUCCGCCCGGCGUUCCAGACGCGGGACCUCUUCACCAUCUGGGGCGUCCUCCAGCUGCUCCGCCGCUACCCCGGCCGCGUCCCCGACCUCGACCUCAUGUUCGACACCGUCGACUGGCCCGUCGUCCGCACCCACCUCUACCGCGGGAAGUACGCCGGGGUCAUGCCGCCGCUGUUCCGUUACUGCGGGGAUGACAGGACGCUGGACAUCGUCUUCCCGGAUUGGUCCUUCUGGGGGUGGCCGGAGAUCAACAUAAAGCCAUGGCAUGCCUUGCAGGAAGACUUGAAGGAUGGUAAUAACAGAGCGAGGUGGAUGGAUAGAGAACCUUAUGCUUACUGGAAAGGGAAUCCAUCAGUUUCGGCGACACGGCAGGAAUUGGUUAAGUGUAAUGUAUCCAGUACACAAGAUUGGAACGCAAGGAUUUACGCUCAGGACUGGUUCAAAGAGAGCAAGGCAGGGUAUAAGGACUCAGAUUUGGGUAGUCAAUGCUCACACAGGUACAAGAUCUAUAUUGAAGGAUCGGCAUGGUCAAUCAGUCAGAAAUAUAUAUUAGCAUGUGAUUCAAUGACACUGCUAGUUACACCAAAAUACUAUGAUUUCUUUUCAAGGUCACUAAUGCCGAUUCAGCAUUAUUGGCCUGUUCGGGAUGACAAUAAAUGUGCCUCCAUAAAAUAUGCUGUUGACUGGGGGAACUCUCACAAGCAAUUGGUACUUUACAUCUAUCUACAUGCAGUUAUCUACAUUUGCAGGCAACUAAGUUUUGCAGUUUUUAAACUUCAGAUAUGGAGGCAAAGUCAAUUUGAUUCAAUAGAAAUCCAGUUGAGCUGCAAUGUACAGCUAUUACUCAAGAUGUCUGAUCUUUCUGGGCUGUCUUUGUCUUCCGAAAGAGUUCCACACAAAUAAUUUCUGCCCAUAACAGUGCUCUGAGGAAUCAAUUUACUAUCAUGGCAUAACUUCGAGUUUUUGUUUCUUUGUUGAAAUGCAAAUAGCAUCAGAACUAACCAUAAUGUAAGAAGUGAAUGAUGGUAGAAUGUUCGGUAGAGCAAGCAGUGACUUGUUAACAUUUGAGCAUUGAAUCAAGAGCUUCAGCAUGGAAGUUGUCGUCCAAAAUUUGUAGCACUAUACUCAUCAUCUUAGGCACAGCGUAUAGGAAAGCAAGCAAGCAAUUUCAUUCAAGAAGAGCUCAGUAUGGACCAAGUUUAUGACUACAUGCUUCACCUUCUAACUGAAUAUGCCAAGCUUUUAAAGUUCAAACCAACUAAGCCACCUGAAGCUGUUGAGGUCUGCUCUGAGUCUUUGGCAUGCCAAGCUGAAGGCCUCGAGAAGAAGUUUCUUGUCGAUUCCAUGGUGAAGUCUGCCCAUGAUGCAGGUCCAUGCGAUCUGCCUCCUCCCUUCAGCUCUCGUGAGCUGAAGAUGCUAAAACAGAGGAGGGAAAAUUCAGUAAAGCAGAUUGAAAUGUGGGAGCAAAGAACUUUGAGGGCAUAGAUAGCAGGCUUCGUGCGCUGGAACCCUAGCUCUUUUUUUUCCCCCUCUUCCAAGCAUAGGCAUAGAUAAUGCUAACUGUUUGGGACUUACGGUCUAAUUCAGCUUCAUUGUAGUUCUAACAAAUACGAAUCAUUCACUGAAAUCUAUGUUAAGCAUCUGUAGAAAUUGAGCAAAUAUCAGCAUUUUCUUCAGUAGUUUUUUUUCUUCUUAAAGUGAUUUUAGUUACAAACAUUAUUUUUCUGUAUUUGUUUUUUGUUUGAAUUACUGUUUUGUAAAACCAUUGUAACUGUCACUGAUAAAUCCAAUAAGUAUUCAGAAAAUAUGAUUCUGGGUGCAUC